GGAGUUUGGGCCGUGUCUCAGUCCCAAUGUGGCCGAUCACCCUCUCAGGUCGGCUACCGAUCGUCGACUUGGUGGGCCGUUACCUCACCAACUAUCUAAUCGGACGCGAGCUCACCCUCCACCGGAUUGCUCCUUUGACCCCUUCGGGAUGUCCCGUUGUGGUCUUAUGCGGUAUUAGUACAACUUUCGCUGUGUUAUCCCCCUCGUGAAGGACAGAUUGCUCACGCGUUACUCACCCGUCCGCCGCUAGAACAUACAUCUUCGCUUCCGUCCGAAAACUUCCACUCCGUCGCAUGUCCCCGCUCGACUUGCAUGUGUUAGGCACGCCGCCAGCGUUCGUCCUCGAGCCACUGAUCAAACUACU
Molecule: ribosomal RNA, 364 nt
Filed under: uncultured Coriobacteriales bacterium
Lineage: Bacteria; Bacillati; Actinomycetota; Coriobacteriia; Coriobacteriales
Description: partial 16S ribosomal RNA
Source: RNAcentral